This 1044-nucleotide long non-coding RNA is filed under the name Homo sapiens (human). Its description in RNAcentral is "non-protein coding lnc-NDUFV2-1:10". The record is from RNAcentral. Lineage: Eukaryota; Metazoa; Chordata; Mammalia; Primates; Hominidae.
ACUUCUCCCCAGAGGAAGGCAAGGAUGUGGAGGGUGAAAGCGGGCUCGCAGACACGAAUAUGACCAACGUGAUGCAGUGUGACUCUCAGGAUUAUGUAGUUAUAUAAGACUUGGUCUGUUUGAAAGAUUUGAAGAAGCCAGCUACCCUGAGGUCUACAUCUUUCCACAGCCUUGGUGUUGGAACCUAAUCCUCAACGUGGUGGUAGGUUUACCACCUGAAGCAGAGAACAGCCCUCACCAGAUACUGAACCAGCUGGUGCCUUAACAUUGGACUUCCAGCCUCCAGAACUGUGAGAUGAGGACCAGAUCAUCAUGACAUGGCCUCCUAAAACAUCCUUUCGAGGGCAAAGGAGACAGAAGAAAGUGACCUCCUAGCAACUGCCUGUGCAAAGAAGAGACUCAACAAAAGAAAAGACUUCUCUCAUGAAGACCCAAGAGCUUCAGGGUCAGAAUGAGGAUAAGAAUUUGGUACUGCUGACAUUUCUACACCUACUCUUCUGUGCUUUUGCCUUGAAAUCUUGAGAACUUCCCUGCUCAAAGAUAAAACCUCAUACACUACAUGAAAUUUCUUUGUUUUUCGGUAACUCUUUCUCUUUGGUCAGAUUCAAGCUGUUUUGAGAUACCCAAACUACUGUUUGCUGAAGUCAACUCAAUAAUUAAAAACAACAACAAGUGAUAUCAAUUAUUUGACACUAUACAGACAAAACAACCUACUGCAUGAAUUAUAGGCUACUUCUACCACUGCCCAGAUGAAAUGGGAUCAAAGUGGACACUUGCCUACUUCCAAACUUAGGUAAAAAUGGAGACAGACAGGGUGACAAACAGGAAAGCAUUUUGACCAUCCAUAUAUGUGGCUCUGUUUCAACAGUGUUUGCCAUAUACCACAGGCAGCUACAAGUGAUGUUUCUCAUUGUAAAUAUAUUCUUCAGAUUGCAAAAAUAUUUUGCUCUUUGGUUGUUUUUAUUUGAUGGAUUCAGUGCCAUGUGCCACAGGCAAAGCCCUGUGCUAGAAGAUGAAGAGGCACAGAUGAUUAUAAAGCAGAAU